RNAcentral lists this ribosomal RNA (287 nucleotides) under uncultured Staphylococcus sp. RNAcentral's name for it is "partial 16S ribosomal RNA". It matches the Rfam family "Bacterial small subunit ribosomal RNA", at positions 1201 to 1530 of the family's 1533-position model. Lineage: Bacteria; Bacillati; Bacillota; Bacilli; Caryophanales; Staphylococcaceae. The record is from RNAcentral.
CUUAUGAUUUCUACACACGUGCUACAAUGGACAAUACAAAGGGCAGCGAAACCGGAGGUCAAGCAUGUUCUCAGUUCGGUUGUAGUCUGACUCGACUAUUGAAGCUGGAAUCGCUAGUAUCGUAGAUCACUGCUAGGUGAAUACGUUCCCGGGCUUGUAACACCGCCCGUCACACCACGAGAGUUUUGUAACACCGAAGCCGGUGGAGUAACCAUUUGGAGCAGGUGGGACAAAUGAUUGGGGUGAAGUCGUAACAAGGUAUCGGAAGGUGCGGCUGGAUCACCUCC